RNAcentral lists this ribosomal RNA (467 nucleotides) under uncultured bacterium. RNAcentral describes it as "partial 16S ribosomal RNA". It matches the Rfam family "Bacterial small subunit ribosomal RNA", at positions 28 to 506 of the family's 1533-position model. The record is from RNAcentral.
GAUGAACGCUGGCGGCGUGCUUAACACAUGCAAGUCGAACGGUGAAGGCGGAGCUUGCUCUGCUGGAUCAGUGGCGAACGGGUGAGUAACACGUGAGCAAUCUGCCCCUGACUCUGGGAUAAGCGCUGGAAACGGCGUCUAAUACUGGAUACGAGCUGCGAAGGCAUCUUCAGCAGCUGGAAAGAAUUUCGGUCAGGGAUGAGCUCGCGGCCUAUCAGCUUGUUGGUGAGGUAAUGGCUCACCAAGGCGUCGACGGGUAGCCGGCCUGAGAGGGUGACCGGCCACACUGGGACUGAGACACGGCCCAGACUCCUACGGGAGGCAGCAGUGGGGAAUAUUGCACAAUGGGCGAAAGCCUGAUGCAGCAACGCCGCGUGAGGGACGACGGCCUUCGGGUUGUAAACCUCUUUUAGCAGGGAAGAAGCGAAAGUGACGGUACCUGCAGAAAAAGCGCCGGCUAACUACGU